GAAAGCGGGGGAUCGCAAGACCUCGCGCGAUUGGAGCGGCCGAUAUCAGAUUAGGUAGUUGGUGGGGUAAAGGCCCACCAAGCCAACGAUCUGUAGCUGGUCUGAGAGGACGACCAGCCACACUGGAACUGAGACACGGUCCAGACUCCUACGGGAGGCAGCAGUGGGGAAUUUUGGACAAUGGGCGCAAGCCUGAUCCAGCCAUUCCGCGUGCAGGAUGAAGGCCCUCGGGUUGUAAACUGCUUUUGUACAGAACGAAAAGGUUUCUACUAAUACUAGGAGCUCAUGACGGUACUGUAAGAAUAAGCACCGGCUAACUACGUGCCAGCAGCCGCGGUAAUACGUAGGGUGCAAGCGUUAAUCGGAAUUACUGGGCGUAAAGCGUGCGCAGGCGGUUAUAUAAGUCAGAUGUGAAAUCCCCGGGCUCAACCUGGGAACUGCAUUUGAGACUGUAUAGCUAGAGUACGGCAGAGGGGGAUGGAAUUCCGCGUGUAGCAGUGAAAUGCGUAGAUAUGCGGAGGAACACCGAUGGCGAAGGCAAUCCCCUGGGCCUGUACUGACGCUCAUGCACGAAAGCGUGGGGAGCAAACAGGAUUAGAUACCCUGGUAGUCCACGCCCUAAACGAUGUCAACUGGUUGUUGGGUCUUAACUGACUCAGUAACGAAGCUAACGCGUGAAGUUGACCGCCUGGGGAGUACGGCCGCAAGGU
This 710-nucleotide ribosomal RNA is filed under the name bacterium KW-16. RNAcentral's name for it is "bacterial SSU rRNA". It matches the Rfam family "Bacterial small subunit ribosomal RNA", at positions 202 to 894 of the family's 1533-position model. The record is from RNAcentral.